CCUACGGGUGACUGCAGUGGGGAAUAUUGCACAAUGGGGGGAACCCUGAUGCAGCGACGCCGCGUGAGUGAAGAAGUAUUUAGGUAUGUUAAGCUCUAUCAGCAGGGAAGAAAAUGACGGUACCUGACUAAGAAGCCCCGUCUCACUACGUGCCAGCAGCCGCGGUAAUACGUAGGGGGCCAGCGUUAUCCGGAUUUACUGGGCGUAAAGGGAGCGCAGACGGCUGUGCAAGUCUGGAGUGAAAGGCGGGGGCCCAACCCCCGGACUGCUCUGGAAACUGGAAAGCUGGAGUGCAGGAGAGGUAAGCGGAAUUCGUGGGGUAGCGGUGAAAUGCGUAGAUAUUAGGAAGAACACCGGUGGCGAAGGCAGCUUACUGGACUGCAACUGACGUUGAUGCUCGAAAGCGUGGGGAGCAAACAGGAUUAGAUACCCCUGUAGUC
RNAcentral lists this ribosomal RNA (440 nucleotides) under uncultured bacterium. RNAcentral's name for it is "partial 16S ribosomal RNA". It matches the Rfam family "Bacterial small subunit ribosomal RNA", at positions 338 to 795 of the family's 1533-position model. The record is from RNAcentral.